GACAAACGCUGGCGGCGUGCUUAACACAUGCAAGUCGAACGGUAAAGCUCCAGCUUGCUGGAGUGGAUCAGUGGCGAACGGGUGAGUAACACGUGAGCAACCUGCCCCUGACUCUGGAAUAAGCGCUGGAAACGGCGUCUAAUACUGGAUACGAGAAGGGUCCGCAUGGGCACUUUCUGGAAAGUUUUUCGGUUGGGGAUGGGCUCGCGGCCUAUCAGCUUGUUGGUGAGGUAAUGGCUCACCAAGGCGACGACGGGUAGCCGGCCUGAGAGGGCGACCGGCCACACUGGGACUGAGACACGGCCCAGACUCCUACGGGAGGCAGCAGUGGGGAAUAUUGCACAAUGGGCGAAAGCCUGAUGCAGCGACGCCGCGUGAGGGAUGACGGCCUUCGGGUUGUAAACCUCUUUCAGCAGGGAAGAAGCGAAAGUGACGGUACCUGCAGAAGAAGCACCGGCUAACUACGUG
This 468-nucleotide ribosomal RNA is filed under the name uncultured bacterium. RNAcentral's name for it is "partial 16S ribosomal RNA". It matches the Rfam family "Bacterial small subunit ribosomal RNA", at positions 28 to 507 of the family's 1533-position model. The record is from RNAcentral.